CAGACGUUAGUCGUGGGAUACUGCAUCGAAGGUGGCCUGACAGCUCUGUCCCGCGCCGUGGGCAACAGAGGAGAUUGCGACCCCGAGCGAGCGAGCAUCCCCGCGCCAUGGAGCAGGCCGUCGCUGGCGGCUGCGGAUGACAAACAGACGAUUCGUGCGAGUGCACUGUCAUCCAAAGUUUGUCCAGAGGAGAACUUGCAGUAUAGCUGGCUGCUGGCUACUGCGGCUUGGGGUUGGCAGUUCAGUAGUCAGUGUUGUUUGGACAGAUUAUAUUUCACCCAUUCGUUCACAGGAUGAUCAAAAUAGGGCCAAUGCUUUGAAAAUAGAAUGUUACAGGCCGGCUUCGGCCUACGUAUGUAUACUAGAAUAGCAUCAUAGCUGAUUCCUGACGUUUAAGUUGUCCAGAUUCGCCUGUGUGUCAGAUACUGCUUUGAAGUUUCAUCCCGGUGUAUCUGCGUUCUGAUAUAUUGCACUACUUAAUUAAGUGAUCGUUUGAGUAUCAGCUUCUCAAGGAUGGGAUCAGGAGAUGACGCCUUUUCCACAUCACAGCUACCCGUAGUUAUGUUGUGUCAGAGUAAACUUAGUAGCUUCAGCUUAAUUUUCUACAGAAGAAUGCAGAGCUUAACUUUAGAACAUGACACACAAACUUGGAUAAGGUAGAUACAAAGUUUUGUAUACCAACUAGUGUUAUUACUAGGCAUCAAACAAGUGCCACUUAUAACUACACAACAUAUGUAAAUGAGUCAGGCAGUAUUAGCUUUCUACAAAACUAGUUCAGUGCUCGAUGACAGAAAGUAGUCUACGUAGUUGGGCAUACCAAACAAUAAGUUUUUACCAAGGACAACUCCAAUUUUCUACCCCACUUUGACUGGCCACUUUGUGCUAUUUGUUAGAGACACAAUUAUUAUCCAUGUUGUAAUAUUGUUGUUAGUACUUGAAAACUGUUUUGUAUCAUGCGUGUUGUAAUUCCCACCUUAUUAUGAUUAUUAUGUGUGAAAUAUAUAAUAUAUAACAAUUCUAAUGUAUUUUCCAAACUCAAGUUUAUAUUGUUCAAACUCAACAAAACAUCUAAUUCCAAAGUUUUUACAUCCAAACAUGAAUUGGAAUUGGGUGCCACCCUAUAAUUCUAACAACACACAACAGAAAUGGAGUUUGGGGCCAUUUCCUUUCCAUCUUGAUUUUGGUAUUCCAUUCCAACUCAAUUUCAAUGCCCAAUUCUGUGCAUCCAAACACAGCAUGACAGUUUUUUACCUGUUGGACUAUUGUGAUCUAUAUAGCAAUAUUAUUUAUAUUCUGCUAGUUUAACAAAUAAUCUUGCAUUCUUGAAUUGUGAAAUAAUGUAUAAUAAUGAACCUAAAUUUCUAGAGUUAGGUUGAAAUAUUGUUUACAACUGUGUGUUCAUCCAUGUUUUAGGAUAACUGUGCCAACCCUUGUUAGUUGAUGUAAUAUGGUUUUAUUUCCAGUGGUUUCACCCUGUGCGAUUUUGCCAAUGGAGAAAUCUCCUGAUAUUCAUAUGCACACUAAAAGUUCAGUGUGAAAAUUUAACGGAGGUCAGCAGGUUCAUUAUUUUCAGUUGCGAAGCUAAGGGCGGAGUAUUUAAGAUGACGUAAUUAAAAGGGAAACCCUCAGAACAUGUUAGUAUUGACAAUUUGGUUUACCUUUCAUCACAAAAGACAAUGCCGCAUUAUGUACAACAUCAUUUGUGCCAUUCCCCAAAUUUCUUGAUGAGAACGUAUUUCUAAUGGAUUUAGCUAAUUCGGCAGUUAUUGGGGUGAUAUUGUGGAUCAAAUUGCUCAAUGUUAAAAGUAAGCUAGGAUCCAUGACAUUUUGAAGUUCAUAGCUGUAGGCAAUAACUUUACUACUCUCUUGAACAUACCUACAUUUCUUUGAAUUUGUAUAUAUUUAUGAUGGGAAAAAAAUAGCAUAGCUUUCGAAAGAGAUACAUACUCAGAACUUUAACAGAUAUAUUGCAACACUGCUCCAAGCUUAAUGUAACAUUGUUGACGUGAAGUAAAAACAUGCAUGCAUACAUACAUGUUAUAGUUUACACAAAUGACAUUUGUCAAUUGAUAAGAAUUAACAAGGCGUGUCGGUUCGGAUGAACUAUGCUUGGGCUGUGUAGAAUGCAGACUUUCCCUUAAUAAGAUCCACCUUUGUCUGCAAUAUUAGGAUUCCUACCUCACAUUAUGAUGAGUUUUAAAAAUUUAGCCUAUCCAACGUCAUCAAAGCAUUCAUUUUGAUGUCCUUUGCAAAUAUUGAAUCAUGCUUAUCUAAUAGCCUUAAAGCAGUUUCUAUUUGGUUUAGGUUAAAAGUAUGGAAAUCUCCUUCAACAUACUCAACAAUUUCUCUUGUUACGCGCGCUUUCAUGU
Lolium perenne is the source of this 2369-nucleotide RNA transcript. RefSeq lists it as uncharacterized. Lineage: Eukaryota; Viridiplantae; Streptophyta; Magnoliopsida; Poales; Poaceae. The record is from RefSeq and is a predicted model, not a curated record.